RNAcentral lists this small nuclear RNA (21 nucleotides) under Arabidopsis thaliana (thale cress). RNAcentral's name for it is "snRNA_15559". The record is from RNAcentral. Lineage: Eukaryota; Viridiplantae; Streptophyta; Magnoliopsida; Brassicales; Brassicaceae.
CGGCCGGGGGACGGACUGGGA